Molecule: long non-coding RNA, 780 nt
Organism: Octopus bimaculoides (California two-spot octopus)
Lineage: Eukaryota; Metazoa; Mollusca; Cephalopoda; Octopoda; Octopodidae
Source: RefSeq, a predicted model, not a curated record
GUAUUAUCUCAGGGGAUUCACUGUUGCACAAAUGUCAUGCAGAGCGACUAUCCUGACAUUUGACGGCAGCCAUGCUGUGGCACUGCUUUGAAGAAUUUUAGUCGAAAUACUCUUUUGAGCCAGAUCAUUAAAAUGGAAUGUCAAAAUAAGAAAAACGAGCAUUUUCGACACCUCUUUUUUUUUGCUUUUAAUCAAGGUUCUAAGAAAUGAGACAAGUACCAGAUAAGUACCUUGCCAUGGUUUAGAUACCGGUGAGAUAAAACCUGUUUACCUGAACAGUUGCAGGCUGGCUGCCGCUGUUGCUGCAGUGAUGGCGAGUGAGAUGUUAUAAAGGACCGAGAUUCUCGGAAGAAAGGGUUGAUAGAGUUUAAGGUGAGGUUUGAAAGUUAGACAAUAUAGUGAACAAGGAGAGAAGAAUGGCCUGAGAAAGGAGUGCAUAAGUCAGUGUGUCACGUGACCGACAAGCUCAGUAGAAAAGAAGAUAUUUUGAGUGUAGCAGUAGAGAAGGCAGAGAGAAAAGAAAGAUCACUUUCCCUCUGAUCAUGGAAUAGGCUCCUACUAAGAGGAAGAAGUAAGACAGCUUGCAAAGAACUGCACCAAUUACACAACUAUUUUUGAAACAGAUGUAAGGGAUUUCUGCAGGACUUCUUCCAGCUUCAGUUUUAAGGUUUUGAUGACCUGUGAUGACCUUCUACUACCUACUAAACUAUCCCACAUCAACAGCGCAUACUAUCAAACUAUAUAUAUGCAACUCUUAAAGGAAUGUUUACUGAUCUCCAU